Molecule: long non-coding RNA, 127 nt
Organism: Anneissia japonica
Lineage: Eukaryota; Metazoa; Echinodermata; Crinoidea; Comatulida; Comatulidae
Exons: 2
Source: RefSeq, a predicted model, not a curated record
CAGCACCAGCGAAUUCAGACGUUGCUGACCGAGUUACAUCGGGUUGCACCAAACAAACGCCACUCGAGUGUAUCAGAGUUGUGGAAAGUUGACAAGAGUUAUUCAUUCAUCAUCGAUGGAAUGGGAA